Molecule: small RNA, 17 nt
Filed under: Arabidopsis thaliana (thale cress)
Lineage: Eukaryota; Viridiplantae; Streptophyta; Magnoliopsida; Brassicales; Brassicaceae
Description: ATSL177610
Source: RNAcentral
UUUUUUUCAUUUCUUCU